GAGGAAGGAUCGGUGAAUGAGAGGUUACCGACGCAUCUGUGUGCGACCAACCGGUUCCCGAGUAAGAUGAAUAACUAUUAUUUGUCGCUGGAGUACCUACUGCUGGUGAGGGAUGUGCUAGAAGGGACCGACGAGAUGGAGAGGCUGUUGGAUUCUUGCUUUGGACAGUAUUUUAGGUUAUCGGUGAGGAAGUGUACUUUUUCGACGGAGGUGCUAGAUGAUGAGCAUGAUUCUUAGGCUUACAGCUGAUUGUGCAAUUUAUGAUGGAAUAUGGGGAGGAUUGUUGUUUUGAAGAUAGAGAUUGUUGUUUGUUCAUGGACAAAAGUCAUAAAUCUUCAUUUUUUUUUAUU
Long non-coding RNA from Brassica rapa (field mustard), 350 nucleotides. RefSeq lists it as uncharacterized. The record is from RefSeq and is a predicted model, not a curated record. NCBI's taxonomy places the organism in Eukaryota, Viridiplantae, Streptophyta, Magnoliopsida, Brassicales, Brassicaceae.